Chlorocebus sabaeus (green monkey) is the source of this 2188-nucleotide non-coding RNA. The record is from RefSeq and is a predicted model, not a curated record. NCBI's taxonomy places the organism in Eukaryota, Metazoa, Chordata, Mammalia, Primates, Cercopithecidae.
AGUGAUGUUGGUUAUUGCAGAUCCCCUUCAUAUUGCAGGUCUCAGGAAGGCAGACGUGUGACAAGACAGACAGACUGACACACUUCUUGUGGAUGCAGAUCUUUCCUGGGCCACACACAGUACCAUCUUUCACGUCACCAAUGUCAGAUUGGCUAUGUGGAUGCUGGAAGAUGGGGAAAACUUGUUUCAAUCUGAACAUUAUCCUUGCCAUCAACUUGCCUAAAGAGGCUGGAUUCAUCUGGGUGGUUUUCACUGUUGCAAGUUAGGCACCUUAUUCCAUGAGGUGCAAGUAGCAUGGAAGAGAAAAGCAAAGUUCAUAGACAAAACUUCCAAGAACAAAGAUCUCUGAAUUGGGAGGAAAUUCUAACUGCCAGAUUUGCUCUCGGUAUUUCUCUUGAUAUGUUUUCUGCUUAUUAUGGAGUGACAGUUGUUGUGGUUGGGAAGAUUGAAAAUGGGAAGCACUAAUCAAAGAUAUAAUGUUGUGGAAAGGACUGAUAAGCUGCACAAACUCGUAUCAUAUUAUUCUUUUUCUUGGAGCUCAGCAUGAGAGCAGGCAAUAACAGGAGAAUAACUUCAAAAAUAUCUGUAAGCCAGAUUCAUUGUCUUCAUUCCUAGGACUUACAGAGACCAAAGCUCCUGAAGUACCAUCAUUCUACCAGGGAUACUGUGAGGUGGUCCCACUCUAAAUCCAUGUCCUCUAACAUCAGUGGACUGUCAAGUGAGCCAACAGCCAACUUAUUCAUGUUUGAUAAACUCUUCCUUUCCCCACAGCUAUUUCAAAUUCAUCAAGAUCCCUCUCUACCCAUCUUCCCUCUUAUUCCAAUGCCCUAAUGCACUGUUUUCCUAUCUGUCUGUCACUAGUAUCUGUCCCAUUAGAGUCAUGGAAGUAAUUCAGCUGGUUAUAGCCUGCAGGUUUUUUUCCUUAACGAAAUAGAACAGAAAUAUCAGAAGGCAUCCCUAGAAGAUCCUUAGCAACUCUUGAAUACACAGUGCCAAAUAUUUGGGUUUAAGUGUGUGGAAGGCCACAAUGUCACAAUAUAAAAUGGAUUUCUUUCUCUGGAGUAUGAGAGAGAUAUAUAUACCAAAUUCAAAGACAAAAUGGUUUCUAGGCCUUUUACCGUCUGAAUCCACCUACGUCUACCUCUUCUCUACCUUACUCCCUCUCUAGUCUCAUUAGCCCCUCAUAGUUCCAGAUCAUCUCUCCCACCUACUUGAGGAUUGUUUCUAUCAAUUUUCCCUACUCUCAACUGCAUCUUCAUCUUCUACUACUUUUUCUAUUCCUUACUGGCAAUUGGGGUGACUACCUCAUCCUGAUUUUCCCAGGACAGUCCUGGUUUUAAAACUGAAAGUCCUGCACCCAGCAAUCCCCUCAGUCCCAACCCAACUGGAAUAGUUCAUCACCCUACCUACACCCAUGCUCAAGUCACUCAUAUCUUUAAAAAUGAAAACAAAACAAAAAUUCAGAGACUUCACAGCAUCCAGUGGACUACUCUGGAUACCAAAUUAUGCAUAGAACCAAACUUGAUGACUUACCAUCAGAAGAAACAGUAGUUUCCAUGGCCAUUUCUGUGUAGAUGGUUUAUACCACCCUUUAUCAAUGGUUUGUAGCUGAGGUCACAGAACAAAGGGAAACAUAGGCCCUCUCCCUUUUGUCUCUCAGGUGACUAAAUUCUAGAUUUAGCUACUUAGCAACAAGGAACUUUCAAUUCUACAGAAAUAAUAAUAGACUCUCAAGAAUAUCUUGCUCUCAUCCUGCUAUUUCUAUACUCAUUUCCAAAUUCAAUCCAGUUGGAAUUGGGUUGUCUCCUCACCUCCAGUCUAUGAACCCUGACAGCACAGGUUUAUAAUUUUGCUCAUGCCAUUGCAUUGGUCUAGACUGUCUAAUCACUUUUCCCAUUGAACUGAAUUACAGUAACUUUCUAGGGCAAGAUCAAAUUCCACUUCCAUUAUCAAAUCUUUCCUAAAUAAUCCAGAAAACAUUAACAUCCUGUAACUCUCUUUAUAACUAUAACAUGCAACACAUUUUUGUGUGACAAAAUUUAUAUCCUUGCAUUUUCUGUUUUAUACGUGAGUUUUAAAAAUUGCAUCUCCUAUUAGACUAUAAUGUUUUGGAGAAAAAUAUGCUCAAAAUGGUUGGUGGAGAAUUUAUGGUAAAGUGUUUGUUAAAAUAUAUAAUCAAUAAGGUGAG